This 413-nucleotide small RNA is filed under the name Pongo abelii (Sumatran orangutan). Its description in RNAcentral is "retained intron". Lineage: Eukaryota; Metazoa; Chordata; Mammalia; Primates; Hominidae. The record is from RNAcentral.
GCUGGGAUGUCUAGUUUCUAGAUCCAGUAAAAUCAGCCCCUUUUGCAAAUGAGCCUAGUGGUCCUUACAAACUCUGCCUACAUCCAGAGAGGCAAGAUAAUUUUAAAGUUUUCAGUGGCUCGGGAUAUAUUAGAUGACAGUGAGUGAAAUAUACUAAUUUCUCCCUCUUUUCUCUUGCAUUUCAUUUCUAGAACAAGAGGAAAGUAUGGGGAAGGAGCCAAGCAGGAGACGUUCACCUUUGCCUUAACUUUGGUCUUCAUUCAAUGUGUGAUCAAUGCUGUGUUUGCCAAGAUCUGGUGGAUCGUACCCGGAGCUGGCUCUAUGCUGCCUGUUCUAUCUCCUAUCUGGGUGCCAUGGUCUCCAGCAACUCAGCACUACAGUUUGUCAACUACCCAACUCAGGUCCUUGGUAAA